RNAcentral lists this ribosomal RNA (460 nucleotides) under uncultured bacterium. RNAcentral's name for it is "partial 16S ribosomal RNA". It matches the Rfam family "Bacterial small subunit ribosomal RNA", at positions 338 to 795 of the family's 1533-position model. The record is from RNAcentral.
CCUACGGGCGGCAGCAGUGAGGAAUAUUGGUCAAUGGACGAGAGUCUGAACCAGCCAAGUAGCGUGAAGGAUGACUGCCCUAUGGGUUGUAAACUUCUUUUAUAAAGGAAUAAAACGAGGCACGUGUGCCUUUUUGCAUGUACUUUAUGAAUAAGGCUCGGCUAACUCCGUGCCAGCAGCCGCGGUAAUACGGAGGAUCCGAGCGUUAUCCGGAUUUAUUGGGUUUAAAGGGAGCGUAGAUGGGUUGUUAAGUCAGUUGUGAAAGUUUGCGGCUCAACCGUAAAAUUGCAAUUGAUACUGGCAGUCGUGAGUACAGUUGAGGUAGGCGGAAUUCGUGGUGUAGCGGUGAAAUGCUUAGAUAUCACGAAGAACCCCGAUUGCGAAGGCAGCUUACUAAACUGUGACUGACAUUGAUGCUCGAAAGUGUGGGUAUCAAACAGGAUUAGAUACCCUUGUAGUC